This is a long non-coding RNA of Odontomachus brunneus, 914 nucleotides long. RefSeq lists it as uncharacterized. NCBI's taxonomy places the organism in Eukaryota, Metazoa, Arthropoda, Insecta, Hymenoptera, Formicidae. The transcript is spliced from 3 exons. The record is from RefSeq and is a predicted model, not a curated record.
UUAGUACGGGAAGAGAGGGUAAGGCACUAAAGUGAAUUAUAGGUUUAUAUAGUGGUCGAUGUACCGCGUCAUAGCCUCAGACACUCGGCAGACAAAGUAGCUGUCGGCUACAAAGUAGCGGAGCAGUGAGGAAAGGUGACUGGCAGGACGACGCAGGGAGAUGGUGACAGUGUUCUUUUCUUUUCAUGCUCUUUCCACUAUGACUAGUGGAAGCACUCGACUAGCACUAUGAUUAGCACUCGACGAAGCACCUCUCCCGCAGUGAGCUCCUGCUUCACCAUAAACUCCGGUAGAGGAUCUACGUACGUUGGGGUCACCAAACACACGUUGGAUAUGUUCCGCAACUUCACGUUGUCAGCAGAGAGUUAACAUCACUUAUCACACAUUUACUUAUUUUUUUAAUAAAACGCCGAUAGCGCAUACCUCUUAAUAUCACAGCGUGCGCAGCAGAAGAAUGGAAUAUUUCAACGUCGUAGUUGGCUGAUGAGCUGGCAUUUUGUUCUUCCUUCAUGGGUAUACCAGUUACUGUAGUACUGGCAAGGUCAUAAUGUGAUAGAAUAAGAUGUGAUAACUUGGAGUAAAGCGCUGAAGCUUUGAUUGAAUGCACUUCUACCGUUAGCAAUGGUGAGAUCUACAAAAGAAAAUUUACUCCAUUAAGAAUAUUAAUUCUUAUAUACAAUUUUUUUGUAACACAUUCCGGAUAAAAUUGAAUAUUGAUUCGUUAUUAAAAACAUACCUCUCGUGGACCUUGACUAGUGACUUGUGGCUCAAUAUUGUUGGGAAAUAUAUUUAAUAUAACCAGAUGACAGUAAUCAAUGGGUAUCAAGCUGUGAGACAAAAAAUGUAAUAACAUUAUAUUGUGAUAAAGUAUGACACUUCAAUGAAAUAAUUAUAUAAAUACUGACUGAUCUGAA